CUGCUAUGUUUGGUACCCAAUAAUGUGAAUAUCCCUACACAUGCAAGUCUUCACCGACAUUUCUUCUUUUUUUGAGAAAAAUCAUGUCUUAUUGCGCUAAGUAUAGAUUUAAAAAGAAAAUGGCUCGCGAAGAUUAUGUAAAUCUGGCAUCUUCAUCGUCAAUUGUUGACGGAACGGACAGGAACUGAGUUUCACUCAGAAUUGGAUUCAAACAAGGGUUCAAAUAAUCACUCCUAUGCAGUAAAAUCAUUGAUUUGAUGUCAACAUUGAAAUCAUUUCAAGAAUAUUAUUUUGGAUAUUUCAAUGUUGAAAAAAUUUCGUAUUCUGUAUGGGCACUUGAUUUGAAAAUAUUGAAAUCAUAGAUUGAUUGAAAUAAAAGUCAAUGUGUCAUUUGGCAACAUGGCAUUGUAUUAAAUUUACCAACUUCAUAUUUGUUAGAAUAGAAUCUCUGGUCUUUAAAUAUUAAACAUAACCUUUUAAUCUUUCUUGAAUGUUGUGUGUGCACAGUGCAAAUAUAUUUAUUUUCUUUGUGAUUUUUAUUAAAUAAAGAAGGUAAGUAUGAUAACUAUUUGAUCAUAAAAGUAAUGAUUAAACAGCUUUUACUGGAUGUGUCCUUGUGUUGAUAUGUAUGUGCUGCAUUUCUUGUACGCAUGCAUUGAAUUUAAAACUUUAAAUUUCAAUGAUGUAUGUAUGUUUAUAGGAGGCUAUUAAUGGACAAAUUACAAUCCUAAAACUGAAUCCACAUGAUAUAAUUUCUCGGGUCCGUUGUAACUGUGAUCAAUAUAAUCAUUUAAAAGUUCACAACCACAACUUUGUUCUUUUAUUGGUCACAGUCGCAACAGAUCUGUGAAAUCGUGAAUGAUGUGGAUUCAGCCUAAUUGAUAUGUAUGUAUCGAUAAGUACUAGAUGUUAAUUUUUAAUUUAGAUGCCGCCAAAAAAGGCAACGCCUGAGCAGUAUAAACUGCUUGUGGACAUGUUUGCUGAAAGCAAAUGCUUGAGGUGGGGAAAGGGAACUCCAGGUGAAAAAAAGGAAGCAUGGGAAGCCAUCAGUGCUGCAGUUAAUACUUUAGGAGUUGAGAAAUCGUCAGAUGGAUGGAAAAAGGCCUUUAUUGAGAUGAAAUCUCACAUCAAAUCAAAAAUCCGAGCUUCAAACCAGCUCAACCCAACUGAAAAUAGAUGUGCAGAAGUCACCGGAUUGUUUAUAUCCUGCUCUGGAAUUUCUGGGGUUCAGGAAAUGGGAAUGCCACCUGUUGUUGAUGCGAUAGAUACACAAGAACCCGAAGAGGGCCCUCAAGAUGAGUCGGUCGAAAUAAAUCCACCUGACGUGAAUCCGAAUGCAUGUGAGGUUGUUGAGGAAGAAUUCGAGGAGGUAGAAACAGCCUCAAAAAAAAAACGUAAAACAACUCAAGCAAUAAAAAAAACAAAAACUACACCACAACAGUACGAAAUGAAGAAAUAUAAAUACGACAAUGAAGAAAAUGCUUUUAAAGCAUUAUGUGAAGAACUGAAUGGGAAAAAAAAAUUGCAACGCUCUGUUGAAAAUUGGAAAAGGGUAUAUACCUGAGGUGUGUGCUUAAAAUCACUUAUAUGAUGUAAAAUAGGUUUUUACUGUUUGGGAAUCAAAAGUGAAAGCAAAAGCUAGGAGAAACUAUUUGGAACAAGAGCGCACAGGAGGUGGAGUUCCUAUCUUAGAAAUUCUGGAUGAACUUGAACUACAAUUGUUAUCCGUUUUAACAAAAAUUUUAAUAUAUGGGCAUCCAAAGGUUGUAGAAUUGGGAUUUACAAAACCAAAGAAGACAAAGACGUGUCCCAUUAAACUUUCUGUAGGAAAGAGAUACAGACAUUUGAGAAAAUCCACUGAUUUAUACACCACAUUGAAAAGCGGCUCAACAAAACUAAAAAAUAGUUUACUCGCUAUUCAAAAAAGUUUGCAUGCUCUGCAUGAUGCGAUUUUAAACCUAUUUACUCUAGUUUUAAG
This is an RNA transcript of Photinus pyralis (common eastern firefly), 1978 nucleotides long. RefSeq lists it as uncharacterized. The transcript is spliced from 6 exons. The record is from RefSeq and is a predicted model, not a curated record. Lineage: Eukaryota; Metazoa; Arthropoda; Insecta; Coleoptera; Lampyridae.